This 433-nucleotide ribosomal RNA is filed under the name uncultured bacterium. RNAcentral's name for it is "bacterial SSU rRNA". It matches the Rfam family "Bacterial small subunit ribosomal RNA", at positions 957 to 1391 of the family's 1533-position model. The record is from RNAcentral.
GAACGCGAAGAACCUUACCUAAGCUUGACAUCCCUCGGACAGGUGUUUAAUCACACCCUUCCUUCGGGACUGAGGUGACAGGUGGUGCAUGGUUGUCGUCAGCUCGUGUCGUGAGAUGUUGGGUUAAGUCCCGCAACGAGCGCAACCCUUGUCUUUAGUUGCCAGCAUUCAGUUGGGCACUCUAGAGAGACUGCCAGGGAUAACCUGAAGGAAGGUGGGGAUGACGUCAAAUCAUCAUGCCCCUUAUGCUUAGGGCUACACACGUGCUACAAUGGGUGGUACAGAGGGUUGCCAAACCGCGAGGUGGAGCCAAUCCCUUAAAGCCAUUCUCAGUUCGGAUUGUAGGCUGAAACUCGCCUACAUGAAGCUGGAGUUACUAGUAAUCGCAGAUCAGAAUGCUGCGGUGAAUGCGUUCCCGGGUCUUGUACACACC